This is a small nucleolar RNA of Juglans regia (Persian walnut), 88 nucleotides long. RefSeq annotates it as small nucleolar RNA Z102/R77. NCBI's taxonomy places the organism in Eukaryota, Viridiplantae, Streptophyta, Magnoliopsida, Fagales, Juglandaceae. The record is from RefSeq and is a predicted model, not a curated record. The transcript has a single exon.
GAAUGACAUGAUGAAUAGAGGAUGUUUCCCUAUUGGUUUGAUUGCCGUGAUGAUGGCAUCUCUAAGUAUUAGCUCUAUCUGAUCAUUC